GACAGAGGGUGCAAGCGUUGUUCGGAAUUACUGGGCGUAAAGCGCGUGUAGGCGGCCCUGUAAGUCGGGUGUGAAAUCCCACGGCUCAACCGUGGAAGUGCAUUCGAAACUACAGGGCUAGAGCUCUGGAGAGGAAGGUGGAAUGCUUGGUGUAGAGGUGAAAUUCGUAGAUAUCAAGCGGAACACCGGUGGCGAAGGCGGCCUUCUGGACAGUAACUGACGCUGAGACGCGAAAGCGUGGGGAGCAAACAGG
RNAcentral lists this ribosomal RNA (253 nucleotides) under uncultured bacterium. Its description in RNAcentral is "partial 16S ribosomal RNA". It matches the Rfam family "Bacterial small subunit ribosomal RNA", at positions 524 to 776 of the family's 1533-position model. The record is from RNAcentral.